GACGAACGCUGGCGGCGUGCCUAAUACAUGCAAGUAGAACGCUGAAGGAGGAGCUUGCUUCUCUGGAUGAGUUGCGAACGGGUGAGUAACGCGUAGGUAACCUGCCUGGUAGCGGGGGAUAACUAUUGGAAACGAUAGCUAAUACCGCAUAAUAGCAGUUGUUGCAUGACAACUGUUUGAAAGGUGCAAUUGCACCACUACCAGAUGGACCUGCGUUGUAUUAGCUAGUUGGUGGGGUAACGGCUCACCAAGGCGACGAUACAUAGCCGACCCGAGAGGGUGAUCGGCCACACUGGGACUGAGACACGGCCCAGACUCCUACGGGAGGCAGCAGUAGGGAAUCUUCGGCAAUGGACGGAAGUCUGACCGAGCAACGCCGCGUGAGUGAAGAAGGUUUUCGGAUCGUAAAGCUCUGUUGUAAGAGAAGAACGAGUGUGAGAGUGGAAAGUUCACACUGUGACGGUAUCUGACCAGAAAGGGACGGCUAACUACGUG
RNAcentral lists this ribosomal RNA (495 nucleotides) under uncultured bacterium. Its description in RNAcentral is "partial 16S ribosomal RNA". It matches the Rfam family "Bacterial small subunit ribosomal RNA", at positions 28 to 507 of the family's 1533-position model. The record is from RNAcentral.